Molecule: ribosomal RNA, 515 nt
Filed under: Ancistrocerus waldenii
Lineage: Eukaryota; Metazoa; Arthropoda; Insecta; Hymenoptera; Vespidae
Description: partial 16S ribosomal RNA
Rfam family: Bacterial large subunit ribosomal RNA (bases 389-515)
Source: RNAcentral
GGUUUAUAGAAAAUUAUAAUUAUAAAUUUGUUCUGCCCAUUGAAUAAGAUUUUAACGGCUGCAGUAUAUUGACUGUACAAAGGUAGCAUAAUCAAUUGUUUUUUAAUUGAAAACUUGUAUGAAAGAAUUGAUGAGAUAAAAAUUGUUUCAAUAAUUUAAUAUGAAUUUAAAUUUUAAGUUAAAAUGCUUAAAUUUUUUUAUUAGACGAAAAGACCCUAUAGAAUUUUAUAAAAUUAAAUUAAAAUAGAUAUUAUAAAAAAUUAUUUAUUUUAUUUUAUUAUAUUUAGUUGGGAGGAUUAUAAAAUUUAAAAAACUUUAAUUUAUUUUAAAACAUUAAUUAAUGAAUAUUAAGAUUAUUAUUAUAAUUAAAAGAAAAAAUUACCUUAGGGAUAACAGCGUAAUAUUUUUGGAGAGAUCAAAUUGAUAAAAAUGUUUGCGACCUCGAUGUUGAAUUAUGAUAUAAUUUAAGUGAAGAAAUUUAAAUUGUUAGUCUGUUCGACUAUUAAAAUCAUACA